This 478-nucleotide ribosomal RNA is filed under the name uncultured bacterium. Its description in RNAcentral is "partial 16S ribosomal RNA". It matches the Rfam family "Bacterial small subunit ribosomal RNA", at positions 355 to 819 of the family's 1533-position model. The record is from RNAcentral.
UGGGGAAUUUUGGACAAUGGGCGCAAGCCUGAUCCAGCCAUGCCGCGUGCGGGAAGAAGGCCUUCGGGUUGUAAACCGCUUUUGUCAGGGAAGAAAUCUUCUGAGUUAAUACCUCGGGAGGAUGACGGUACCUGAAGAAUAAGCACCGGCUAACUACGUGCCAGCAGCCGCGGUAAUACGUAGGGUGCAAGCGUUAAUCGGAAUUACUGGGCGUAAAGCGUGCGCAGGCGGUUUUGUAAGACAGAGGUGAAAUCCCCGGGCUCAACCUGGGAACUGCCUUUGUGACUGCAAGGCUUGAGUGCGGCAGAGGGGGGAUGGAAUUCCGCGUGUAGCAGUGAAAAUUGCGUAGAUAUGCGGAGGAACACCGAUGGCGAAGGCAAUCCCCUGGGCCUGCACUGACGCUCAUGCACGAAAGCGUGGGGAGCAAAACAGGAUUAGAUACCCCUGGUAGUCCACGCCCUAAAACGAUGUCAACUGG